Bombyx mori (domestic silkworm) is the source of this 684-nucleotide long non-coding RNA. RefSeq lists it as uncharacterized. The record is from RefSeq and is a predicted model, not a curated record. The transcript is spliced from 3 exons. Lineage: Eukaryota; Metazoa; Arthropoda; Insecta; Lepidoptera; Bombycidae.
UGUAUUGACAGUAAAAUCAUAUGUUACAACCUAAAAUUCUUAUUUUAUUUUUUAAAUAUCUCUGUAUCCCUUUGAACAAUAUCGAUUUUAAUUUGUUGAUUAUAAAAGGCAUAUAUAGUCUGUUAUAUAAACUUCAUUACUGUCCUUGAACUUCGUUUAGUGGGCCGUGCAAUGUAUGGAGAGUGGCUCAUGUCCUUUGUUUCGAUGAAGUAGGAUUACCGCUGCCAACAAUAAUAGCUGGGUCACAGCCGGUGCAAAGGAUUUUUCUAAAUUUCCACAGACAAAAUCUCCAUUGGAAGCAUUUGCGUAGCAAAAUUUUCUCCAAGCGACACCUAAGCUCGACCUUAUUCAAUUUAUUUACAGAAAGAAUCUAAAUACUAUCUAAAUGGAUUCGGCGUAGAAUGUUCAUGUUCGUGAGUACUGUAUAUAUUCAAUGCACAUUUAGUACGUGUAUCGUACAUGCCCGAACUGGAAACCGAAGUCGCUUGAAAAUUCAGCCUUCGCUCCCGGCACCACGGAGGGUUGUACAAACUAGGGCUGUCACGACAUUACCGAAAUUCAAACGAAUAUUAGGACUACAACAGUUCAGCAGUGCUAGUUUAUGAAAACAAUGUAUAGACUUUGUGUGUUAAUUUUAUUAUCCUAAUAGACUAGUUAUGCAUUAAAACUAUUUUUACUAUUUAA